UACUCCUACGGGAGGCAGCAGUGGGGAAUUCUGGACAAUGGGGGGAACCCUGAUCCAGCCAUGCCGCGUGAGUGAAGAAGGCCUCCGGGUUGUAAAGCUCUUUCGGUCGGGAAGAAAUCGCAUUCUCUAACAUAGGAUGUGGAUGACGGUACCGGACUAAGAAGCACCGGCUAACUACGUGCCAGCAGCCGCGGUAAUA
RNAcentral lists this ribosomal RNA (199 nucleotides) under uncultured Thauera sp. Its description in RNAcentral is "partial 16S ribosomal RNA". It matches the Rfam family "Bacterial small subunit ribosomal RNA", at positions 334 to 525 of the family's 1533-position model. The record is from RNAcentral. Lineage: Bacteria; Pseudomonadati; Pseudomonadota; Betaproteobacteria; Rhodocyclales; Zoogloeaceae.